CCCUCCAUUUCUCUCUCCAAUCUUUCUGUUUCUGUCUGAUCUCAGAAGCUAAGCAGGGUCAGUCCUGGUUAGUACUUAGAUGGGAGACCGCCUGGAACUACUGAGUGCUAUAGGAU
Molecule: ribosomal RNA, 116 nt
Filed under: Aotus nancymaae (Ma's night monkey)
Lineage: Eukaryota; Metazoa; Chordata; Mammalia; Primates; Aotidae
Source: RNAcentral